CAUCGAGACACUUCUCGGCCAGCGAUUU
This 28-nucleotide small RNA is filed under the name Bombyx mori (domestic silkworm). RNAcentral's name for it is "ovarian small RNA-13409". The record is from RNAcentral. Lineage: Eukaryota; Metazoa; Arthropoda; Insecta; Lepidoptera; Bombycidae.